Molecule: ribosomal RNA, 397 nt
Filed under: uncultured bacterium
Lineage: Bacteria
Description: bacterial SSU rRNA
Rfam family: Bacterial small subunit ribosomal RNA
Source: RNAcentral
AUUGAACGCUGGCGGAAUGCUUUACACAUGCAAGUCGAGCGGCAGCGCGGGGGCAACCCUGGCGGCGAGCGGCGAACGGGUGAGUAACAUAUCGGAACGUACCCAGUCGUGGGGGAUAACUAUCCGAAAGGAUAGCUAAUACCGCAUACGUCCUGAGGGAGAAAGCGGGGGAUCGCAAGACCUCGCGCGAUUGGAGCGGCCGAUAUCGGAUUAGCUAGUUGGUGGGGUAAAGGCUCACCAAGGCGACGAUCCGUAGCUGGUCUGAGAGGAUGAUCAGCCACACUGGAACUGAGACACGGUCCAGACUCCUACGGGAGGCAGCAGUGGGGAAUAUUGGACAAUGGGGGCAACCCUGAUCCAGCCAUGCCGCGUGUGUGAAGAAGGCCUCGGUUGUAAG